RNAcentral lists this ribosomal RNA (460 nucleotides) under uncultured bacterium. RNAcentral describes it as "partial 16S ribosomal RNA". It matches the Rfam family "Bacterial small subunit ribosomal RNA", at positions 338 to 795 of the family's 1533-position model. The record is from RNAcentral.
CCUACGGGCGGCAGCAGUGAGGAAUAUUGGUCAAUGGGCGGAAGCCUGAACCAGCCAAGUCGCGUGCAGGAUGACGGCCCUACGGGUUGUAAACUGCUUUUAUACGGGAAUAACGCCCCUUACGUGUAGGGCUUUGCAUGUACCGUAUGAAUAAGGACCGGCUAAUUCCGUGCCAGCAGCCGCGGUAAUACGGAGGGUCCGGGCGUUAUCCGGAUUUAUUGGGUUUAAAGGGAGCGUAGGCCGCAUGUUAAGAGUGCUGUGAAAUGUCCGGGCUCAACCCGGGCCUUGCAGCUCGAACUGGCGUGCUUGAGUGCGGGGAAGGCAGGCGGAAUGCGUCGUGUAGCGGUGAAAUGCUUAGAUAUGACGAAGAACCCCGAUUGCGAAGGCAGCUUGCUGCAGCGGAACUGACGCUGAGGCUCGAAAGCGCGGGUAGCGAACAGGAUUAGAUACCCUAGUAGUC